Molecule: long non-coding RNA, 404 nt
Organism: Salvia splendens (bonfire salvia)
Lineage: Eukaryota; Viridiplantae; Streptophyta; Magnoliopsida; Lamiales; Lamiaceae
Exons: 3
Source: RefSeq, a predicted model, not a curated record
CAAAACAUAAAGAGUUAGGCGGUUUGAUCUCUUUCCAUGGACAUCAGGGUGAAAACUCGGGUGGGAUCAGUGCCUCAAUUCGGAGCAUGGGACGAUGGAAAGAGUGAAACCAACUUCUCCGACCUGUUCAUGAAAGCUCGCGAGAGAAGGAAGCAUAAACACUUAACCACCCGCCAUAGCUUCAAUAAGACCCCUCUCAUGCCCGUGCAACGAGCGAAAGGAAUGGAGAAAAAGAAGAAGAAGAAGAGGAGGAGGAGUGUUAGUUGGUUUUGUUGUUUAUUUUGGUCUUGAAUUCCAAAUUUUGUUGGUUAUAAUAUAGUCAAUACUCGAUAGUGAUUGAGCAAAUAUUGUAACCGAGUUUCUUCCUCCCAUUUUUCAAAUAGAGCGCCAUGAUUUUUGACUUA